This 338-nucleotide long non-coding RNA is filed under the name Ananas comosus (pineapple). Its description in RNAcentral is "long non-coding RNA (ACOM_LNC005632)". The record is from RNAcentral. Lineage: Eukaryota; Viridiplantae; Streptophyta; Magnoliopsida; Poales; Bromeliaceae.
AGCUACGGCCCUCGAGCAAGGACUUAUAGCGCGUAUGAUCCAAUCCUUAACUCUAAGGAUGUCAAGUUCAAUCCGUUCCUUAACUAUAAGAAAAUUAUGCACAAAUGACCCUUAGCUCUAAGGUUGUAUGCCAUUGUGUCUCAAUCUCAAGUUCUUUGCAUUCUAUGUUUUCAAUCAUGUCAUUACACUAACUCUAGUAUUCUUUAUGUCACACUUGAUGCUAAAUCUAGCUUUUGUUCUUUGAUGCCACACUUUUGAUGCUAACUCUAGCUUUCAUCGUUCUUUAUGCCACACUUGUUCUCUUUGAUGCCACACACCAACUCUAGUGUUAUCUUCGC